Molecule: long non-coding RNA, 1862 nt
Filed under: Eucalyptus grandis
Lineage: Eukaryota; Viridiplantae; Streptophyta; Magnoliopsida; Myrtales; Myrtaceae
Description: long non-coding RNA (EGRA_LNC002943)
Source: RNAcentral
GCAAGUGAUAUGCAUGGAAGAGUUCGUCCUAGGAUCAAGUGCAAGAAAAUCAACAAACUGAUCAUCCGAGUAUACCAAGGUAACUUCGAAAUUAUCAUUCCAGAACAGAGCCAGACCACCCUUUAAACCAUCAGGAUCCUUCACAAAAGAGUUAGAAAAUUUAAACUUACGCUGAAUCUUAGAUACGAAGUGUUUAUCCUUCUUCGUUUCCAUUAAAAACACAAAAUCAGGCUUAUCACAGGCUACCAUCGCCUUUAGGGCUUGAAUUGUCAGGGGAUUGCCCAACCCCUGACAAUUCCAACUGAGGAGCUUCAUUUGGAACACGGUGGCUGUUGAGGGCCAGCCGCUAAAGCCCAAGGAUCAGGGAUAUCUGCCUCCACAACCGGAGUAUCAAGGAGGAGGGACUCAUCAAGAGCUGUUGAGUAUGGAACUUUGAGUUCAUAUGGUGUGUAUCUUUUUGUUUUCUUACUUGAACCCCCAUGUGGCAUUGGCCGAGGAAUCUUCGGCCUCUUCUGCUGUUGAGUAUCCACUGGGAAAGUCUAAGUGUUUUUCAUCUUUGCUGCUGCAGGUACUAAAUCAGUAGUAGAGCCGUGGAGGUAACCGGAUGCCAUUGCUUGGAAGCCCCGUGAGGUAAUUCAGGGUUCGAAGUAACAACCUCUGUAGCAGGGAUAGGAGGGAGAGCUGGAAGAACCGGCUACAUUUGAGGAGGAGUUUCAGGUACUGUCUCUUCCAUGGACUCAACUUGUAUUUUAGGAUUGUAAAAGGCAUCCCAGUAAGGGCUAAAUUGUUUAAGCUCUGCUCUGAGCCAAGGUCCAUAAAUCAUCGUGUCACGGCCAUCAAAUUGUGUUUCAACAUAUGGAAACUCGGGACAGGAAGUUGCAUAGUGACCAAGCCGUCCACAGGAGUAGCAAUAAUGGGACAGUCUCUCGUACCUAAAAUCAAGCCAUACGGUUUUACCUUCAAUACUGAUAAGUUUACCAUUUUUCAGAGGAUCUUUCAAAUCUAAUUCAAUUCGUAUUCUUGUAGAAAUAUCUGUUUUCACCUCCAAUACUUUACCUAUCUGGGAUGCAGCUCGACGCAAAAUAGGUGGAGAAGUCCACUCCAAAGGUAAGCCAAUAACAUGCACCCAAAACAUACAUUUGCUGAAAUCAUACUGUUGCAAUGGAGUAUUAGGUUGCCAUGGACGUAGGUUAACUAAGUGACCAGAAAAUAACCAAGGGCUACCAUCCAGAAUACGACGCUUCUCCACUUCUGUUCUAAAUUUGAUGAUAUAUAGCCCUGUAGCUGCCGAAGUGAUGUCUACAUGAUCCAUUCUCCAGGCUUUCUUCAUAGCAACUUGAAAGGCAGAUAAAUUCACAGAAGGAUUGGUAAAUAUGUUGCCUACCAGAAUGAGACAACAAUCCUUUAGUUUGGCCGACGCAGGGAUGUUAUCCCAAACCUCCAACGGCUGUUCUGAGCAUAAACGGCCCAGGCGAUUACAGAGGGAAGCGAUUCGUGAGGUAGUAUCACUGUCUUCCAUUAGUAAAGGGAAUAGAAAUACGUUAAUAUGGAAAAUUGAAAGAACAGAUGACUGAAUCGAAGAGUUGCCAAGAUUGCAUGUUACAGAUCGGCAACAUGCAGAGCAGGAAUGGCGGGGAAUUGCAGGAUAACAGAAGAACAACGGACCCAGGGAACUGUGAUAGGAGACGGGGAUAGAAGAAUUUGCACAUGCAGAAGGAGGAAGGACGAGGAGAAACAGCUAAGGUGAAAUGGGCGGAGAACGACGGUGAUGCAUAAAGACCUCAAAGUUCAGAGAAGGAGCUGAGGAAAUUGAAGACAUGGUGAAGAGCUCGAACAUCACGCGAGAGAAAACUCUAACAUAA